GAACCGGGAGGAGGCGUUGCUCGCCCUCGCCGCGAUCGGUCGGUCGCUGGAGAGCAUUCCGGCGGAUCUGGCGGUUGCGGUGGAGGCCGGGAGGAUCCCUGGGGUGAUUGUGCAUCGGUUCGCCGAGCUGGAGAAGUCGGUUAUCUUCAGGUGGCUUAUGCAGUUUACGGGGUUUAAGGAGCGGCUGCUUGCUGAUGAUCUGUUUCUGGCGAAGGUCGGAAUGGAGUGCGGCGUCGGGAUUUUAACUAAGACUGCUGCGGAGUAUGAGCGUCGUAGAGAGAAUUUUCUAAAAGAGAUUGAUUUUGUUAUUGCUGAUGUGGUAAUGGCCAUAAUUGCAGAUUUCAUGUUAGUCUGGCUUCCUGCUCCAACUGUUUCACUUCGACCACCUGUUGCCUUAAGUGCUGGAGCAGUAACCAAAUUCUUCCAUAACUGUCCUGAUAAUGCUUUUCAGGUUGCUUUGGGUGGAACAUCCUAUUCAUUAUUGCAACGGAUAGGUGCAAUUGUGCGAAAUGGGUCAAAG
This 520-nucleotide unclassified non-coding RNA is filed under the name Hevea brasiliensis (rubber tree). Lineage: Eukaryota; Viridiplantae; Streptophyta; Magnoliopsida; Malpighiales; Euphorbiaceae. The record is from RNAcentral.